RNAcentral lists this ribosomal RNA (468 nucleotides) under uncultured bacterium. Its description in RNAcentral is "partial 16S ribosomal RNA". It matches the Rfam family "Bacterial small subunit ribosomal RNA", at positions 28 to 507 of the family's 1533-position model. The record is from RNAcentral.
GACGAACGCUGGCGGCGUGCUUAACACAUGCAAGUCGAACGGAAAGGCCUUGCUUUUGUGGGGUGCUCGAGUGUCGAACGGGUGAGUACCACGUGAUUAACCUGCCCUUGACUUUGUGAUAACUUCAGGAAACUGGGGCUAAUACCGGAUAGUUACUCCUUCUUCAUGGUUAGCUUUUGAAUGUUUGGUGGGUUGGGGAUGGAUGCGCGUCUUAUCAGCUUGUUGGUGGGGUAGUGGAUUACCAGGUCUUUGCAGGGUAGCCGGCCUGAGAGGGUGACCGGCCAGAUUGGUACUGAGAUACGGCCCAGACUACUACGGGAGGCAGCAGUGGGGAAUAUCGAACAAUGGGCGGAAGCAUGAUGGAGGAACGCAGCGUGCGGGAUGAAGGACGUCGGGUUGUAAACAGCGUUCGGCUGUGACGAAGGGUGAGUGACGGUAAUGGGUAAAGAAGCACCGGCUAACUACGUG